Molecule: long non-coding RNA, 736 nt
Filed under: Homo sapiens (human)
Lineage: Eukaryota; Metazoa; Chordata; Mammalia; Primates; Hominidae
Description: HSALNT0327702
Source: RNAcentral
UUUCAGAGGCGUAUUGCUACAUUUGGGGCAAUGCGUACAUAUGUGGUUUCGUUAGCUCCAGCGGGGGCUAAUCCUCUGACAGAGCCACCUCUCACACGAAACACUGAAUGGAGGCGAUCCCGAGAUGGAUGGAGCAGCAGCAGCGCAGGUUGCUGCAGCUGUGCUGCCAGAGAUUGUAAUUCAGGAACCAAUCUCAAGCUGAGCAGAGGAAAAAAUGAGAUGCUUCAUGAAAAUGGCCAAAUGUCAUCACCAGCUAUUUUGUGAGAAGAGCUAUGUUAGGAGCCAUCCACAUGUAAAAUGGACUUUCACCAAAUUCCAUCCAUCUGCCGGUCAUGGAAGCUCACAACAUGUAUGUCUCCUGAGGGAGCCUUUUCGUUUUGUGCUUUUUCUGGCACUAAGAAAUACAGACACUUGUGAUUUACUACUGGGCACUUAUAGGAAUGGAGUCAACUAUUUCCUAAGAAACUCAAAGACUGAAAUGAGAAAUUCAGAAAAUAAAAAUAUUUUCUGUGUUAGAAAACUAUAUACCAGAAAGCCUGAAAAGUGAGGCAAAGGGCACGAAAUUCUGGUUAAUAAGAUGUUGUAGAUUAGUGAGAACUUGAAAAUGUUUUUGCUUCUAGUAUAUUUUUUGGAAUUUCUAAACUAUAUUAGCUCCCUUUCUUACCUUAGGAAUUACAGUAUUGUGAUCAUGUGAGAAGAUAGUUCUAAAUAUUAAUAAAUAUUUUUAACUUCAUCA